GGUCCAAAUCUCCCUCAUCUCAUCCGUCGAUCUUUCCCGACAAUCGAAUCCCAUCCGUCCAUUUCUUCCUCGUCCGCUCCGAAAUCACGCCUAUCGUUUACAAUUGUUUAAAGCGCUAUGGGUUCCAUUUGUCGCUGCGAAAAUAAUGGCCGUUCGAUUCGAAUCCGACGUCUUAAAUCGAUCGUACGGGUGAGAAAAGGAGGAGCGGAAAUGGUUUUAUUUUCGUGCUGGGAGUUCGAGGAAACCCUAGCUCCCCCCUUUUCCUUCUAGGGCUUGGAAAAUUGCUGCGGAAAUCGCUCGCGGUUCCACCAAUUCCCGCUCUCAAAAGCCUCGAUUUCGCGUCCUAAUCGAUUCCCCUCAACUUUUUCUCCCCGAUCGGUGGGGAAUUUGGUGUUUGUGCGCUCUUUUUCGAUCCAGGGUUCGUUAAUGGUAAGGAUUUGGGUUGAAUCGUUUGGGGUUUUGCUCUUGGAUCUAGAUUAGGGUUUCGAUCUGAGGCCUAUGUAUCAGAAUUUGGGGGUUUUCGUGUUUUCUUUCCUACCCAUUCAAUUCGGGUACAAUUGAGCUUUGACAAGUGGUGCCUCUGGAUUUCGCUUGUCAUGUAUGAUGGGAGAUGAAAUUUUGGGGCUCUUCUAUCUCAUAUUUCCAAUUGAGGGAAUUUAGAUGGAACUGAGCUUUGAAAAGUCUACUGCAUUAUCAAAAAGAUCAAAAAUUUUCCGCUUUCGGAGCUUUAAUAUUGGAAAAUCUAGGCAUUCCAUUGGAAAACCAAGGAUUGAAGAGCCGAAGGAUUUGAAGCGGAAAAGGAGGUUGUUGUUCGGGAGUGGAGGGCCAUUUGUUGUGGAAUCGAAGAAGAAAAGAAGCAGAAGGGAGGUCUCUUUGAGCAGUCUCAAUCGUAGUAACAAGAGUGAUUUGAGUAAUUCGAGAUCUAAGCUCAAUGGGCUCAAUUUGGGUGGUGAGAAGAAGGAAAACUCUAGCAAUACGAGUGAAUCUUUACUUAAUAUAACCUCUUUUAGAGAGUCCUCAACAGCGCAGAAAACUGAAUGUGGUACUACUAUUGGUUCAAGCAAUGCGGAGAAGGCUAAUGGAUUGGAUAGCAAUAUCGUGGUUCCCAAACGUCCCAGGGGCAUCUUCAAGAGAAAGAAAAGGGAGAGGUCUGUUGGUGGAAAGAGUGUAGCAAGUAAUUCUAAUUGCAAGACUGAGAACACUGAGGAUGCUCAGAAAACAAAAUUAUCCGAGUUCGAGGAGGUUGGUUCAACUGUACAACAUCCUGAUUCCAGUCUCAAGAUUGAAAAUAAGGAUUUCCUGCAACCUAAUGAGAAAAAGGUUAAACGUAGAAAAAGGCAUCGACCUGUAUUGGAAUGUAGGACAAAUGUGGACAGUGAAGCCUGCUUGAGUGAAGAUAAUGAGAAGGCUUGUGAAGAGUUCUUAGACGAUGAUGAUGGAGAGAAUCUUGAACAAAAUGCUGCUAGGAUGCUUUCGCUACGAUUCGAUCCAAGAUGCAUUGGAUUCCCCGAGGAUAGCAUGGCCCCUCAAAAACUUGAAGAAGGUUCGUGUUUGCUGCCAACUGGCAAGAAAUUCGAUGAAACAAGUAGAGUUUUACGGCCCAGGAAGCAUGACGGUAAAAGUUUUGCAAGGAAGCGUAGGCAUUUCUAUGAGGUCUUUUCCAGUGACGUUGAUCCUUAUUGGAUGGUAAAGCAGAGGAUAAGAGUCUUCUGGCCCCUUGAUGGAAGUUGGUAUUUUGGUGUAGUGAAGGAAUACGAUCCUAUAACAAAGAAACACCAUAUCAAAUAUGAUGACAGGGAGGAAGAAUGGAUCAAUCUUCAGAAUGAGAGAUUUAAAUUGUUACUUUUUCCUAGUGAAAUGUCAAGUAAAUAUGACUACGGAAAACCAGUAUUGACCAUAAAACGAGAGACCGAAAGUUGCGAUAGAAAUGCAGUAGAUGAUAGCUGCGACGAAUGUAUUAUGGAGUCAGUUCCAAUUAUCUCAUGGUUGGCUCACAUAAGAAACCCCAUGAGAUCGACCGCACCUAUUACCAAUAAGAAAAAGCGAAAGAGUCAACUAGUUAAUGACCCUGAACCUAAAACCAUGUCUGUGCGCAAAAAUCGUAGGGCUGCUAGUCACUCUAGUGUGAUUUCUACUUUAUCGUCUACUGGUAAUGCUGCUACUACUAUUGCAUUAGAUGACAAUGAAAGUCAAGUUUCUCUGCUAGUAAGAAAAGAUUGCUCCAAAAAUAGGAAGGUAUCAAUUGUUUAUUUCAGAAAACGGUUUCGCAAGAAGGGGUUGGCUUUGGAUGAGUUGCCACAAAAGGGACUGCGCAUCUGCAUCACGCAAGUAGAACCUAAUAAAUUGACUUUGGAGUUGCGGAUAUCGCUUAAAAGCAUUUAUUACCGUACAUUUCGAACUGAAGAUGCUUGGUUAUCUAGGCAAAACUUUCUCUCUUAUUACGGUAAAUUAGUGCUAAUCUGGCCAGCUGUUCGCAUGGAAAUUGCUUUUGUUGAUAAAACUCUGGGCUCAAGAAAAUUUUCAUUUGAAGGAUGUUUCAAGGGGGCUGUUUCUCUUUUGUGUUUUGUUAUGAAAACAUUCUGCCUACAAGAAGAAUGCUGCAAGCUAUUAGAGAUAGAAAUGCCUUCGACCUCAAUUGCAAUUAAGGUUUUAGACUUGCAUGACCAAAGAAUGCAGUUUUUUUCCUUCCGGUACUACUACUGGGAGAUGGAGAGGUCAAAGCAGAGGCUGCUGAAAAACAACUUUAAACAAUAUUGUUUGUUGUUUAGUGAGCCGGCCAUAUCUAACUUCAGAGACGAUAACAUCGAGAAUCUUUCAAAUAGAAAGGAUCAUGCCUCAGUUCUUGAAGACUCAGUUUUUACGGAUGCUCUCUCGGUAAGUAAUGAUGUUGAUUGUAUGCGCUCGUUCGGCAAGCAUAGUCAGACUGAUCAAAGGAAGAAUGAAGAUGAGCAAACAGUCAUCAUACUCGAAAAGAAUGGUUCUCCUGGCCAACCUGAAGCAAGGCAUAAUGAUUGUAUGAAUGUUGUCAAUAUCGAGACUGAUAAUCUACAUAGUCGAGUUGAAGAAGAAUUAAAUGGUAUGGAAAGCCAAAUUAGCCAAUCUUCAUCCAAAGUGGAUCAGGAAAAGAAUAUUCAAAGUUUGUACGGCUCAAUUACAAGGGAUUCAGAGAACAUGCAGCAUGAUAAUCGGCUCUCUUCGGCUUCACCUAGAUCUGUCCCUUAUUCGAAAUUGUGGUCAGAAAAUUUCAUUCAAAAUGGAUUCACCUCCAGGAAGCCGCGCACUAGGAUUUCAUAUAUAUCACCAAAUUUAGGCCAUGAUAUCAGUUUAAAACACCACAUUCAACAAAAAAAAGGACAGACUUAUAAGAAAAUUAGAAUUGAUAAACCAGAUAUGGAAUGUUCUGCAAACGUUCUGGUCACACUAGGGGAUAGGGGCUGGAGGGAAUCUGGAGCAUUGGUUGUUCUCAACUCUCUCAAUCAAAAGGACUACUGGAUUUUGGUAAAACUUUCUGGGAUUACUAAAUAUGUGCAUAAAGCAAACCAAUUUCUGCAGCCUGGUAUUCCAAAUCGUUUUACCCAUGCUAUGAUGUGGAAAGGAGGAAAAGAUUGGAUGUUGGAAUUUACUGAUCGAAGCCAGUGGUCGCUGUUCAAGCUGAUGCAUGAAGAGUGCUACAAUCGGAACCUUAGGGCUGCUUCUGUAAAGAAUAUUCCAAUUCCUGGUGUGCGAUUAAUUGAUGAUUUUGACGAGUCUAUAGUUGAAAAGCCGUUUAUAAGCACUUCAUUGAAGUAUCACCAAGAGGUGGGGACUGAGGUUGAUAGGGCUUUGGAUCCGUGUAACACAUUAUAUGAUAUGGAUAGUGAUGAUGAGGAAUGGACUAAAACUUUUGAUAGCUCUUGUGGUAAUGAUGAUAGUAUAGUGGCUGAGAAUGACCUGGAUAUAUUUGAGAGGGUGAUGGACAUGUUUGAGAAAGUUGCAUAUGCUAAAAACUCUGAUCAGUUCACUGCUGAAGAACUAGAGGAAUUUAUGACUGAGCUUGCUCCACUGGACAUUAUUACAGCUAUCUAUGAAUACUGGCGACAAAAGAGACAGAAGAAGGGUUUGCCUCUGAUUCGGCAAUUUCAGCCUGCACUAUGGGAGAUUUAUGAGCAGCAGUUAAGGGACUGGGAAAUUGCAAUAAAUAAGAUGAAGAGUUCAUCAGACAUGCAUUUAGAAAAGGCUUGUAUUCUAGAGAGGCCUUCCAUGUUUGCUUUCUGUUUGAGGCCGCGGGGCCUGGAAGUACCAAACAAAGGUUCGAAACAAAGAUCCCAGAAGAGGUUCAUGUUUGCCGGUCACCACUCUUCUUCUCCAAGAGACCAUGAUACUCUUAAUCCUUUUGGCAAAAAAUCUGAAGAGUUAACACUUGGGGGUGGCAUUGCCUUAGCUUCUGUUGCAAAUCAUGAGCUCUCUUUCUCCCCUCGCUGGCACAAGUCUUCAUCUUGUUUCUCUUCAAAAGAUUCUCCAAGGACUGGAACCUUAAUCUUUACAAAGAACACCGUGUCUGUGCCUUAUAAGAAUUCUUCAAUUAUGCCAGCCUCAUAUGAUGGAAAAGCAAAGAGAAGUGGAGUUCGGCUGUCGAGUUCUGACGGGUUUCAGAGAGAACGACCUGAUAUCGGCGAAUUGAGAUUGCGUGAUGCAGCUAGUGCAGCUCAGCAUUUGUCAAACAUGGCCAAGUUAAAGAGAGAGAAAGCCCAAUGGCUGUUCCACAAAGCAGACCUCGCCCAUCAUAAGGCCGCUUUUGCACUCAUGAUUGCGGAGGCAAUAAAAGCGUCUGAUAGGGAUGUAACCGGUGAUGGGUAGCCUUAGAAGUGUAAGAAGAUAUACAAAGUGCCUAUUUUAUGUCGGUUUUGGUCGCCAAUUUCUUGCAUGAAGAUCAUAGCGGAGCUUCUCUGAGAUGUAUUUGUGGUAAAUUCCAUGGAAGAUCCAAUGUCAGAACUUCCGAUGCCAGAUCAAGUUGAUUUUUUUGAAGACUUCUCCAGCUGGUUUGAUUUGAAAGUUUUGGCUUUCUGCUAUAGCAUAUCUCCGUUUAAUUUCCGACUGUAUCCCAUCAAGCGGAUGGGCAUGUCGGUUAACUGAAGCAAUCAGAUUUGACGGAGGGGAUUUUGGCUAUUGUGUUAUCAGUCCCAAAUCAAAAUGUAAGUAAUGUACUAACUCUUUUCAUUCACCUAGCUUCAGAGUAAUGUUCAGCGAGAGUUGCUAACAACAUUUCAAGAAUCACGUAGGGAAAGUUAUGUCAUAGAUAUGUGUUGGUUUAUGUUCAUCUAUUACUAAUUUUUCCAUAUGUAAUGUAAUUUUGUUUGUGCUUA
RNA transcript from Ananas comosus (pineapple), 5342 nucleotides. RefSeq lists it as uncharacterized. NCBI's taxonomy places the organism in Eukaryota, Viridiplantae, Streptophyta, Magnoliopsida, Poales, Bromeliaceae. The record is from RefSeq and is a predicted model, not a curated record. The transcript has 6 exons.